GAUAGGCUGGGNCNGUGGCGGUGUGCCGCCUAAAUGCGACUGUGCUGAGUACUCCUCACUCUUGUGGAUCUUCUCUUGCUCAGAGAGNUAUNUUGUAGUGCAGCGUCUGUGUUAUCGUGCUGUUGUAUGUGUAGACUACAAGCUGACGUUUCAUAGUACGUCGGCCUCUUNUAUUGUGUAUCAUGUCGCGAAAUAAGACUGACGCUUCGAGCGUANAUCUCAGCGCUAGUCAUCAUAUGAGGCGUCACGCAAUGACGUGUCAUGCACGCNAUACGUACGUGACUCCUACUUUCUUAUGUAUCGAUAGUGUGUAAUAUGUAUAUGUCUUUAUUGUGCCUAGUUCCUCUCUAAGAUAGAGUAGCAGGAUGCNUCCUGACAGNGUCUGACUAUUUAACUCCUUUAUGCUGUAGUGUAGUGUGUGAGNGAACGGAGUCGCUCUACUCUAGCGAGUGCGCACAUGAGUAGCAGGUGAGUCGCAUGGACUCGGGAUGAUGAGUGUGUCUGUAUACAGUGUCUCAUCUCUCGUUGGUUGCACCCUGUAUGCACUACAUGGACCUCUAUGCACAUCUCNUUACAUCGUGUAGCGUCGAUGCUAGUUGAGAGUGCAGAGUCGUGUUCCUGUCUAUAUGCGUGUCUGGCUAAGUCACUUCGUACCGCGUAUCCUAUACCGGCCUCGCCGUGUAGAUGCCUAGAGGAAGUAGUCCUCUAUCAGGUUGGUUGGUUAAUAUGCGUUUUAUGUCGUCUUUCUGGUGUAAUGGAUGCCGCGGUGUGCGGGAGGGAGUGGGCAGAUUGUCUUCGCCCUACUUGUGAGUUACGUGCUUUCCCGUGGGUGNGAGGCGAGAGNCUCCUCUGGGCGUAAACUUAACGUGUGGCGCUAGACGAGACUCCGCUGUGUGUAUCUAUCGUAGAGUGUGGUGGCGAAGGUGAUGUCCGUUCUCGUGAANAGUCGACCUNGAGGAGUUGUGUAAAUUGUGGUCGUCGUUACAGGUCGUGUCUGGUGUGGUAGUUGGUCUUCGGAGAGGUGGAGGUAGGUGUCUCUGCGCGUCCUCAUCUUCCCCUGUAGUGAUAUGUCCCCUUCUCGUAUAAUCCUGCUAUAGGAACCUAUUGAGCUCUGCGUGAGAUAGUAGAGUCUAACGAGGCGAGAUAGUUCUCCUCGCUUCGUAGACUGUGCAGAAUAGAUCGGCAGUUGAAUAGUUCUCGCUGAGAUGUGUAAAUUAUCUCUUAUUGUGCUACAACUGUCGCUCUCUUUGUGAUCGCUACUUCGCUUAUCCUGACACUCCUUGCAAUACUCACUGUAACAUCUCGUCGAUGAGGGCCACGAGCAGCGGUGUU
This 1332-nucleotide ribosomal RNA is filed under the name uncultured bacterium. RNAcentral describes it as "partial 16S small subunit ribosomal RNA". The record is from RNAcentral.